RNAcentral lists this ribosomal RNA (468 nucleotides) under uncultured bacterium. RNAcentral's name for it is "partial 16S ribosomal RNA". It matches the Rfam family "Bacterial small subunit ribosomal RNA", at positions 28 to 507 of the family's 1533-position model. The record is from RNAcentral.
GACGAACGCUGGCGGCGUGCUUAACACAUGCAAGUCGAACGGAAAGGCCCUGCUUUUGUGGGGUGCUCGAGUGGCGAACGGGUGAGUAACACGUGAGUAACCUGCCCUUGACUUUGGGAUAACUUCAGGAAACUGGGGCUAAUACCGGAUAGGAGCUCCUGCUGCAUGGUGGGGGUUGGAAAGUUUCGGCGGUUGGGGAUGGACUCGCGGCUUAUCAGCUUGUUGGUGGGGUAGUGGCUUACCAAGGCUUUGACGGGUAGCCGGCCUGAGAGGGUGACCGGCCACAUGGGGACUGAGAGACGGCCCAGACUGCUACGGGAGGCAGCAGUGGGGAAUAUUGCACAAUGGGCGGAAGCCUGAUGCAGCAACGCCGCGUGCGGGAUGACGGCCUUCGGGUUGUAAACCGCUUUCGCCUGUGACGAAGCGUGAGUGACGGUAAUGGGUAAAGAAGCACCGGCUAACUACGUG